AACGAACGCUGGCGGCAUGCCUAACACAUGCAAGUCGAACGAGACCUUCGGGUCUAGUGGCGCACGGGUGCGUAACGCGUGGGAACCUGCCCUUAGGUUCGGAAUAACUCCCCGAAAGGGGUGCUAAUACCGGAUAAUGUCUUCGGACCAAAGAUUUAUCGCCUUUGGAUGGGCCCGCGUUGGAUUAGCUAGUUGGUAGGGUAAAAGCCUACCAAGGCGACGAUCCAUAGCUGGUCUGAGAGGAUGAUCAGCCACACUGGGACUGAGACACGGCCCAGACUCAGAGGGGAGAGCGGGAGGGAAUAGGGUAGAAGUGGGGCGAAAGCCGUACACGACGACGCGGGGGGUGUGAGAGUGGCUUGUGGGGUGUAAGGCUGUUUACCGGGAAAGAAAAAGGAAAAGAGCGGGAUUAUACGCGCCGGCAAACUCCGUCCCAGGAGGGGGGGGAAUGAGGAAGAGAAGACGUAGGAAU
Molecule: ribosomal RNA, 472 nt
Filed under: uncultured bacterium
Lineage: Bacteria
Description: partial 16S ribosomal RNA
Rfam family: Bacterial small subunit ribosomal RNA (bases 15-341)
Source: RNAcentral